Molecule: non-coding RNA, 1360 nt
Organism: Heterocephalus glaber (naked mole-rat)
Lineage: Eukaryota; Metazoa; Chordata; Mammalia; Rodentia; Bathyergidae
Source: RefSeq, a predicted model, not a curated record
GCGCAGUGGCAGUAUCGUAGCCAAUGAGGUUUAUCCGAGGCGCGAUUAUUGCUAAUUGAAAACUUUUCCCAAUACCCCGCCAUGACGACUUGAAAUAUAGUCGGCAUUGGCAAUUUUUGACAGUCUCUACGGAGACUGAAUAAUUUUGUUUCUAAAGAAAGAUUGUUUUUGUUCUUUUGAAUCAUGAGUGUAGUAACCGAGUCCGCUCUGAAUACUUGAAUAGUCUUGUUCUUUAUACUUAUCGACUCUCAACUAUGUUGAGGGUCAGGUUUGUGAUUAUUUUUACUUCGAUGUAGGUAGGGUAUGGUUAAAUUGCUGAUUUUUCUAGGCGGAGCUGUAAUUUGGAGUCUUUGUACACUGCGUAAAUGUAGUACUACGUUUGAGAACUUUACAUCAUAGGAACUGGGGAUUGAACUCAUGGCUGUUGCACCGAGCCACAUCUCCAGCCACCACCACCCCAACCUCUUUUAAAUUUUGAGACAGGAUCUUGUUAAAUUGCUAAACGGAAUUUGCAGUCCUCCUGCCUCAGCCUCCCAGAGUGCUGGGACUACAGGGAUGUGCCCCCAUGCCCAGCCCCGAAGGCCUCUUUUGCUGAAAAACAUUGACCCUUCACUUCAGCCUUCAGAGGUCUGAUGAGUGUUGCCCCUAACUUUAUCUCAGCAUUUGUUUUCUGGAGAGCCUAGCCUGACACAGAGGGAGUUGGUGGCUGGAUUCUUGAGGGACAGGGAGAGAUUGAAGCUGUGUCUGCAGAGCAUUUCAACUUAAAAUUGGCCAACUACCAUCACCUAUCCUAAAGUGUGAGGAAGGACAAUUAAUAACUACCUCAGUGGGAAUUAAUUUGAUAAUAGCUCAUCUGGGGACCCUUCCACCCUGUGCAGAAUCUUGGCAAAGACUCUAGGGACAGUGGAUUUGUGAAGACUAAAAGAUAUGUAACCUCACAAGUAUUGGAUUUGGGCUCAAAGGCUGGUCUGUGACCUGCACGGUCCACAGGGCAACCCCAGGAAAUGUCCUCCAAAGGAUCCGGCCCUUGCCUGGUACUGGUUUAGGGUCCUCCCGGGAGGGGACCUACUGGGAGAAUCAGACUUUCCAGUGGACACGGAGGCAUAUGAUGACCGAGUGACUGAUGAAUGAACCGACACAUCUGUCCGUUUGAAGGUCAGGAAGUGACUUUGAACGACAGAGACUAGCGGGAGGGCCUGAGGGCCUGGAGGCCUCCCGCAGGCCCACUCGUCCGCCAGGGGGCGCCACAGCCACGCCCCGCGUCGCCCCCAGUCCGGACUUUGGCGCGGCCCCCUGGGUAGGCGGGGGGCGUGGCCAGCGUCCACUAGAGGCGUGUCAGCUUGUCACGGGGCGAGGGGAG